UACGGGGGGAGCAAGCGUUGUUCGGAUUUACUGGGCGUAAAGGGCGCGUAGGCGGUCAGCACAAGUCAGUUGUGAAAUCUCCGGGCUUAACCCGGAAAGGUCAACCGAUACUGCGGGGCUAGAGUGCAGAAGGGGCAACUGGAAUUCUCGGUGUAGCGGUGAAAUGCGUAGAUAUCGAGAGGAACACCUGCGGCGAAGGCGGGUUGCUGGGCUGACACUGACGCUGAUGUGCGAAAGCUAGGGGAGCGAACGGG
RNAcentral lists this ribosomal RNA (254 nucleotides) under uncultured bacterium. RNAcentral describes it as "partial 16S ribosomal RNA". It matches the Rfam family "Bacterial small subunit ribosomal RNA", at positions 524 to 776 of the family's 1533-position model. The record is from RNAcentral.